CCGAAAGGCGUAGUCGAUGGGAAACAGGUUAAUAUUCCUGUACUUGGUGUUACUGCGAAGGGGGGACGGAGAAGGCUAUGUUGGCCGGGCGACGGUUGUCCCGGUUUAAGCGUGUAGGCUGGUUUUCCAGGCAAAUCCGGAAAACCAAGGCUGAGGCGUGAUGACGAGGCACUACGGUGCUGAAGCGACAAAUGCCCUGCUUCCAGGAAAAGCCUCUAAGCAUCAGGUAACAUCAAAUCGUACCCCAAACCGACACAGGUGGUCAGGUAGAGAAUACCAAGGCGCUUGAGAGAACUCGGGUGAAGGAACUAGGCAAAAUGGUGCCGUAACUUCGGGAGAAGGCACGCUGAUAUGUAGGUGAAGCGACUUGCUCGUGGAGCUGAAAUCAGUCGAAGAUACCAGCUGGCUGCAACUGUUUAUUAAAAACACAGCACUGUGCAAACACGAAAGUGGACGUAUACGGUGUGACGCCUGCCCGGUGCCGGAAGGUUAAUUGAUGGGGUUAGCGGCAACGCGAAGCUCUUGAUCGAAGCCCCGGUAAACGGCGGCCGUAACUAUAACGGUCCUAAGGUAGCGAAAUUCCUUGUCGGGUAAGUUCCGACCUGCACGAAUGGCGUAAUGAUGGCCAGGCUGUCUCCACCCGAGACUCAGUGAAAUUGAACUCGCUGUGAAGAUGCAGUGUACCCGCGGCAAGACGGAAAGACCCCGUGAACCUUUACUAUAGCUUGACACUGAACAUUGAGCCUUGAUGUGUAGGAUAGGUGGGAGGCUUUGAAGUGUGGACGCCAGUCUGCAUGGAGCCGACCUUGAAAUACCACCCUUUAAUGUUUGAUGUUCUAACGUUGGCCCCUAAUCGGGGUUGCGGACAGUGUCUGGUGGGUAGUUUGACUGGGGCGGUCUCCUCCUAAAGAGUAACGGAGGAGCACGAAGGUUGGCUAAUCCUGGUCGGACAUCAGGAGGUUAGUGCAAUGGCAUAAGCCAGCUUGACUGCGAGCGUGACGGCGCGAGCAGGUGCGAAAGCAGGUCAUAGUGAUCCGGUGGUUCUGAAUGGAAGGGCCAUCGCUCAACGGAUAAAAGGUACUCCGGGGAUAACAGGCUGAUACCGCCCAAGAGUUCAUAUCGACGGCGGUGUUUGGCACCUCGAUGUCGGCUCAUCACAUCCUGGGGCUGAAGUAGGUCCCAAGGGUAUGGCUGUUCGCCAUUUAAAGUGGUACGCGAGCUGGGUUUAGAACGUCGUGAGACAGUUCGGUCCCUAUCUGCCGUGGGCGCUGGAGAACUGAGGGGGGCUGCUCCUAGUACGAGAGGACCGGAGUGGACGCAUCACUGGUGUUCGGGUUGUCAUGCCAAUGGCACUGCCC
RNAcentral lists this ribosomal RNA (1358 nucleotides) under Escherichia coli. RNAcentral's name for it is "partial 23S ribosomal RNA". It matches the Rfam family "Bacterial large subunit ribosomal RNA", at positions 1402 to 2743 of the family's 2925-position model. Lineage: Bacteria; Pseudomonadati; Pseudomonadota; Gammaproteobacteria; Enterobacterales; Enterobacteriaceae. The record is from RNAcentral.